UACAGAGGUCUCAAGCGUUGUUCGGAUUCAUUGGGCGUAAAGGGCGCGUAGGCGGCUCAUGAAGGCUGUGGUGAAAGUCCGGGGCUCAACCUCGGAUCGGCCGUGGCGACUCGUGGGCUGGAGCACUGUAGAGGCGGGUGGAAUUCCAGGUGUAGCGGUGAAAUGCGUAGAGAUCUGGAGGAACACCGAUGGCGAAGGCAGCCUUCUGGGCCAACACUGACGCUCAUGCACGAAAGCGUGGGGAGCAAACAGG
Molecule: ribosomal RNA, 253 nt
Filed under: uncultured bacterium
Lineage: Bacteria
Description: partial 16S ribosomal RNA
Rfam family: Bacterial small subunit ribosomal RNA
Source: RNAcentral